This 1023-nucleotide long non-coding RNA is filed under the name Fragaria vesca (wild strawberry). RNAcentral's name for it is "long non-coding RNA (FVES_LNC004711)". Lineage: Eukaryota; Viridiplantae; Streptophyta; Magnoliopsida; Rosales; Rosaceae. The record is from RNAcentral.
UUCCUACGUGGUUCCUAUGACAUAGACCAACUUAGAAUUAGACUACGGGUUUCAUUCAACAUCGCAACACAACAAGCUCGGCUACAUGCUCUACUUAUUGGUCACACACAUAAACUAAUCAUGCAAUUACGUAUCACAUAAAGAAUUUGAUGUGUUUAAGCACAAGUCCAAAUCAAACAUAGGUAGAAAAUCAGUGAAAAACAAAGACAAUGCAACUUAUCAACUACGUGUAUCAAAGUCGAACUUUGGAUGAUUAACACAUGCAAUAUCAACUACUUGUAUCAACUACACAUGAUAAUGGAAUAUAGCACCGAAAAUCUUAAAGUAUUUAGACAUAAAACUCACGGCAUAAAACCUCAAAUCAUUGAUUAUAAAUUGUAAACUUUAAUUCAUAACAUGGCUCAAAAGUACUUCUAUCUCAUAGACAAGAAUCGAAACAUACUUAAGCAAAUACCUAAAGCAAACAAAAACAAGAACAAACACAUAGCAAUCCGAAAAUAGAAGAUGAAAUACACUCUCAAAAUAUCCCUACUUGUUCUAUUCUUCGAGUGCGCGGAGUCCUAGGCUACGUGCUUUGGACGAAUGCUGAAGGUGGGAUCGGAUUGUGGUGUUUGGAGGUUGAUGGAGUUUCGGCAAAGGUGAUAAGACGUAUUUGCACACGCAUCAAUUAACCCUGUCAACAAAUCAGUCGUAGUAUAAAGCAAGCAGGGAUCGUUCUAAACCGGGGAUCCAACUACAGGGUAGAUCCAUCUAAUCUAAUGUAAAUAUCGAAAUAAGCAUAUAGGUUUAAAGGUUUUGAUGAUUUUGGAAUAAACAUUGAUAAUAAAUCCUAAAUUACUUCUAUACAUAUUUACAUGUGAUCAACCAACAAUCAUGCAAACACAACCAAACAACCAUGCAAGAACAAAGAAGACAAUCUCUAAUCUCAUUUAAGUCUAUACCGUGAGCAAAUAUACAACCUAAAUUUGAUAUGCACAUAAGUUCCUACGUGGUUCCUAUGACAUAGACCAACUUAGAAUUAGA